GUGGGGAAUCUUCCGCAAUGGACGAAAGUCUGACGGAGCAACGCCGCGUGAGUGAUGAAGGUCUUCGGAUUGUAAAGCUCUGUUAAUCGGGACGAAAGAGCCUAGUGUGAAUAAUGCUAGGAAGUGACGGUACCGGAAUAGAAAGCCACGGCUAACUACGUGCCAGCAGCCGCGGUAAUACGUAGGUGGCAAGCGUUGUCCGGAAUUAUUGGGCGUAAAGCGCGCGCAGGCGGAUCUGCCAGUCUGUCUUAAAAGUUCGGGGCUUAACCCCGUGAUGGGAUGGAAACUACAGAGCUAGAGUAUCGGAGAGGAGAGUGGAAUUCCUAGUGUAGCGGUGAAAUGCGUAGAUAUUAGGAAGAACACCAGUGGCGAAGGCGACUUUCUGGACGAAAACUGACGCUGAGGCGCGAAAGCCAGGGGAGCGAACGGGAUUAGAAACCCGGGUAGUCC
This 450-nucleotide ribosomal RNA is filed under the name uncultured bacterium. Its description in RNAcentral is "partial 16S ribosomal RNA". It matches the Rfam family "Bacterial small subunit ribosomal RNA", at positions 354 to 796 of the family's 1533-position model. The record is from RNAcentral.